Molecule: ribosomal RNA, 629 nt
Filed under: uncultured fungus
Lineage: Eukaryota; Fungi
Description: eukaryotic LSU rRNA
Rfam family: 5.8S ribosomal RNA (bases 233-386)
Source: RNAcentral
UCUUGGUCAUUUAGAGGAAGUAAAAGUCGUAACAAGGUUUCCGUAGGUGAACCUGCGGAAGGAUCAUUAUUGAAAUAAACCUGAUGGGUUGUUGCUGGUUCUCUAGGGAGCAUGUGCACACCUUGUCAUCUUUAUAUCUCCACCUGUGCACUUUUUGUAGACCUUCCAGGUCUAUGUUGCUUCAUUUACCCCAAUGUAUGUUAAUAGAAUGUUGUGACUAUAUAAUAUAUACAACUUUCAGCAACGGAUCUCUUGGCUCUCGCAUCGAUGAAGAACGCAGCGAAAUGCGAUAAGUAAUGUGAAUUGCAGAAUUCAGUGAAUCAUCGAAUCUUUGAACGCACCUUGCGCUCCUUGGUAUUCCGAGGAGCAUGCCUGUUUGAGUGUCAUUAAUAUAUCAACCUUCUCUUUUUUGAGUUGUUUGGAUGUGGGGGUUUGCUGGACUCUUUAAUGAUUCAGCUCCCCUGAAAUGCAUUAGCAGAACAACCUGUUCAUUGGCGUGAUAAUUAUCUAUGCUAUUGAAUGUGAGGGCAGUUCAGCUUUCUAACCGUCCUCGGACAAUUCAUCAUUAAUGUGACCUCAAAUCANGUAGGACUACCCGCUGAACUUAAGCAUAUCAAUAAGCGGAGGAA